AAUGGGGGAAACCCUGACCCAGCAACGCCGCGUGAAGGACGAAGGCCUUCGGGUUGUAAACUUCUUUGAUCAGGGACGAAUAAAUGACGGUACCUGAAGAACAAGCCACGGCUAACUACGUGCCAGCAGCCGCGGUAAUACGUAGGUGGCAAGCGUUAUCCGGAUUUACUGGGUGUAAAGGGCGUGUAGGCGGGUCUGCAAGUCGGAUGUGAAAUUCCCGGGCUUAACUCGGGCAGGUCAUCCGAAACUGCGGAUCUUGAGUACUGGAGAGGAUAGUGGAAUUCCUAGUGUAGCGGUAAAAUGCGUAGAUAUUAGGAGGAACACCAGUGGCGAAGGCGGCUAUCUGGACAGUAACUGACGCUGAGGCGCGAAAGCGUGGGGAGCAAA
RNAcentral lists this ribosomal RNA (387 nucleotides) under uncultured bacterium. RNAcentral's name for it is "bacterial SSU rRNA". It matches the Rfam family "Bacterial small subunit ribosomal RNA", at positions 370 to 772 of the family's 1533-position model. The record is from RNAcentral.